GGGUUGUGAGGUUAAGCGACUAAGCGUACACGGUGGAUGCCCUGGCAGUCAGAGGCGAUGAAGGACGUGCUAAUCUGCGAAAAGCGUCGGUAAGGUGAUAUGAACCGUUAUAACCGGCGAUGUCCGAAUGGGGAAACCCAGUGCAAUUCGUUGCACUAUCGUUAACUGAAUACAUAGGUUAACGAGGCGAACCGGGGGAACUGAAACAUCUAAGUACCCCGAGGAAAAGAAAUCAACCGAGAUUCCCCCAGUAGCGGCGAGCGAACGGGGAGCAGCCCAGAGUCUGAAUCAGCUUGUGUGUUAGUGGAACGGUCUGGAAAGUCCGACGGUACAGGGUGAUAGUCCCGUACACCAAAAUGCACAGGCUGUGAACUCGAAGAGUAGGGCGGGACACGUGGUAUCCUGUCUGAAUAUGGGGGGACCAUCCUCCAAGGCUAAAUACUCCUGACUGACCGAUAGUGAACCAGUACCGUGAGGGAAAGGCGAAAAGAACCCCGGCGAGGGGAGUGAAAAAGAACCUGAAACCGUGUACGUACAAGCAGUGGGAGCACCUUCGGGUGUGACUGCGUACCUUUUGUAUAAUGGGUCAGCGACUUAUAUUCUGUAGCAAGGUUAACCGUAUAGGGGAGCCGCAGGGAAACCGAGUCUUAACUGGGCGUUAAGUUGCAGGGUAUAGACCCGAAACCCGGUGAUCUAGCCAUGGGCAGGUUGAAGGUUGGGUAACACUAACUGGAGGACCGAACCGACUAAUGUUGAAAAAUUAGCGGAUGACUUGUGGCUGGGGGUGAAAGGCCAAUCAAACCGGGAGAUAGCUGGUUCUCCCCGAAAGCUAUUUAGGUAGCGCCUCGUGAACUCAUCUUCGGGGGUAGAGCACUGUUUCGGCUAGGGGGUCAUCCCGACUUACCAACCCGAUGCAAACUACGAAUACCGAAGAAUGUUAUCACGGGAGACACACGGCGGGUGCUAACGUCCGUCGUGAAGAGGGAAACAACCCAGACCGCCAGCUAAGGUCCCAAAGUCAUGGUUAAGUGGGAAACGAUGUGGGAAGGCACAGACAGCCAGGAUGUUGGCUUAGAAGCAGCCAUCAUUUAAAGAAAGCGUAAUAGCUCACUGGUCGAGUCGGCCUGCGCGGAAGAUGUAACGGGGCUAAACCAUGCACCGAAGCUGCGGCAGCGACACUAUGUGUUGUUGGGUAGGGGAGCGUUCUGUAAGCCUGCGAAGGUGUGCUGUGAGGCAUGCUGGAGGUAUCAGAAGUGCGAAUGCUGACAUAAGUAACGAUAAAGCGGGUGAAAAGCCCGCUCGCCGGAAGACCAAGGGUUCCUGUCCAACGUUAAUCGGGGCAGGGUGAGUCGACCCCUAAGGCGAGGCCGAAAGGCGUAGUCGAUGGGAAACAGGUUAAUAUUCCUGUACUUGGUGUUACUGCGAAGGGGGGACGGAGAAGGCUAUGUUAGCCGGGCGACGGUUGUCCCGGUUUAAGCAUGUAGGCUGAUUGUCCAGGCAAAUCCGGAUAAUCAAGGCUGAGGUGUGAUGACGAGGCACUACGGUGCUGAAGUAACAAAUGCCCUGCUUCCAGGAAAAGCCUCUAAGCAUCAGGUAACAUCAAAUCGUACCCCAAACCGACACAGGUGGUCAGGUAGAGAAUACCAAGGCGCUUGAGAGAACUCGGGUGAAGGAACUAGGCAAAAUGGUGCCGUAACUUCGGGAGAAGGCACGCUGGUGUGUAGGUGAAGUCCCUGCGGAUGGAGCUGAGACCAGUCGAAGAUACCAGCUGGCUGCAACUGUUUAUUAAAAACACAGCACUGUGCAAACACGAAAGUGGACGUAUACGGUGUGACGCCUGCCCGGUGCCGGAAGGUUAAUUGAUGGGGUUAUCCGUAAGGAGAAGCUCUUGAUCGAAGCCCCGGUAAACGGCGGCCGUAACUAUAACGGUCCUAAGGUAGCGAAAUUCCUUGUCGGGUAAGUUCCGACCUGCACGAAUGGCGUAAUGAUGGCCAGGCUGUCUCCACCCGAGACUCAGUGAAAUUGAACUCGCUGUGAAGAUGCAGUGUACCCGCGGCAAGACGGAAAGACCCCGUGAACCUUUACUAUAGCUUGACACUGAACAUUGAGCCUUGAUGUGUAGGAUAGGUGGGAGGCUUUGAAGCGUGGACGCCAGUCUGCGUGGAGCCAACCUUGAAAUACCACCCUUUAAUGUUUGAUGUUCUAACGUUGGCCCCUGACCGGGGUUGCGGACAGUGUCUGGUGGGUAGUUUGACUGGGGCGGUCUCCUCCCAAAGCGUAACGGAGGAGCACGAAGGUUAGCUAAUCCUGGUCGGACAUCAGGAGGUUAGUGCAAUGGCAUAAGCUAGCUUGACUGCGAGCGUGACGGCGCGAGCAGGUGCGAAAGCAGGUCAUAGUGAUCCGGUGGUUCUGAAUGGAAGGGCCAUCGCUCAACGGAUAAAAGGUACUCCGGGGAUAACAGGCUGAUACCGCCCAAGAGUUCAUAUCGACGGCGGUGUUUGGCACCUCGAUGUCGGCUCAUCACAUCCUGGGGCUGAAGUAGGUCCCAAGGGUAUGGCUGUUCGCCAUUUAAAGUGGUACGCGAGCUGGGUUUAGAACGUCGUGAGACAGUUCGGUCCCUAUCUGCCGUGGGCGCUGGAGAAUUGAGGGGGGCUGCUCCUAGUACGAGAGGACCGGAGUGGACGCAUCACUGGUGUUCGGGUUGUCAUGCCAAUGGCACUGCCCGGUAGCUAAAUGCGGAAGAGAUAAGUGCUGAAAGCAUCUAAGCACGAAACUUGCCCCGAGAUGAGUUCUCCCUGAGAC
Molecule: ribosomal RNA, 2802 nt
Filed under: Klebsiella pneumoniae
Lineage: Bacteria; Pseudomonadati; Pseudomonadota; Gammaproteobacteria; Enterobacterales; Enterobacteriaceae
Description: bacterial LSU rRNA
Rfam family: Bacterial large subunit ribosomal RNA
Source: RNAcentral